CAGCAGCCACGGGAAUACGUAGGUGGCAAGCGUUGUCCGGAAUUAUUGGGCGUAAAGGGCUCGCAGGCGGUUUCUUAAGUCUGAUGUGAAAGCCCCCGGCUCAACCGGGGAGGGUCAUUGGAAACUGGGAAACUUGAGUGCAGAAGAGGAGAGUGGAAUUCCACGUGCAGCGGUGAAAUGCGUAGAGAUGUGGAGGAACACCAGUGGCGAAGGCGACUCUCUGGUCUGUAACUGACGCUGAGGAGCGAAAGCGUGGGGAGCGAACAGGAUUAGAGACCCCUGUAGUCCCUGUCUCUUAUAA
This 301-nucleotide ribosomal RNA is filed under the name uncultured bacterium. Its description in RNAcentral is "partial 16S ribosomal RNA". It matches the Rfam family "Bacterial small subunit ribosomal RNA", at positions 509 to 809 of the family's 1533-position model. The record is from RNAcentral.